CGUACGCAACAUACCCGCUACUGGGGGAUAGCCUUCUGAAAAGGAGAUUAACACCCCAUAAUAUCAAUGACUGGCAUCAGUUGCUGAUUAAAAAUUUAUUGGUAGCGGAUUGGCGUGCGUCCUAUUAGCUAGUUGGUAUGGGUAAUGGCCUACCAAGGCGACGAUAGGUAGCUGGUGUGAGAGCACGACCAGCCACACGGGCACUGAGACACGGGCCCG
Molecule: ribosomal RNA, 219 nt
Filed under: uncultured bacterium
Lineage: Bacteria
Description: partial 16S ribosomal RNA
Rfam family: Bacterial small subunit ribosomal RNA
Source: RNAcentral